AAGUCGUAACAAGGUUUCCGUAGGUGAACCUGCGGAAGGAUCAUUAUUGAAUACGAUUGGUACUGAUGCUGGCUCUUCACUGAGCAUGUGCUCGUCCAUCUAUUUAUCUUCUCUUGUGCACAUCUUGUAGUCUUGAAUUGAAACCCCUCGCAGUCAAAUGCGGUUUGGGAGGUUGGGCGUGAGCCCUCCUUCUGCUUCUUCAAGGCUAUGUUUUCAUAUACACUAUAAAGUUACAGAAUGUCUUUUAACGAUUGUGCUAGUCGCAGUCAUUAAACCUAUACAACUUUCAGCAACGGAUCUCUUGGCUCUCCUAUCGAUGAAGAACGCAGCGAAAUGCGAUAAGUAAUGUGAAUUGCAGAAUUCAGUGAAUCAUCGAAUCUUUGAACGCACCCUGCGCCCUUUGGUAUUCCGAAGGGCAUGCCUGUUUGAGUGUCAUUAAAUUAUCAACCUUGCUCUCGCUUUUACCGGCUUGAGUGAGGCUUGGAUGUGAGGGCUUGCUGGCUUCCUUCAGUGGAUGGUCUGCUCCCUUUAAAUGCAUUAGUGGAAUCCUUUGUGGACCGUCACUUGGUGUGAUAAUUAUCUAUGCCAUCUUGACUUUGAAGCAAAACUUAUGGGAAUCCGCUCAUAACCGUCUUCGGACAAUCAUUGACAUUUUGACCUCAAAUCAGGUAGGACUACCCGCUGAACUUAAGCAUAUCAAUAAGCGGAGGAAAAGAAACUAACAAGGAUUCCCCUAGUAACUGCGAGUGAAGCGGGAAAAGCUCAAAUUUAAAAUCUGGCGGUUCUUGUAGCCGUCCGAGUUGUAAUUUAGAGAA
This 815-nucleotide unclassified non-coding RNA is filed under the name uncultured Mycena. Its description in RNAcentral is "sequence contains ITS1, 5.8S rRNA gene and ITS2". The stretch from base 282 to 435 matches the Rfam family "5.8S ribosomal RNA". The record is from RNAcentral. Lineage: Eukaryota; Fungi; Basidiomycota; Agaricomycetes; Agaricales; Tricholomataceae.